RNAcentral lists this ribosomal RNA (476 nucleotides) under Paenibacillus sp. CZ89. RNAcentral's name for it is "bacterial SSU rRNA". It matches the Rfam family "Bacterial small subunit ribosomal RNA", at positions 1074 to 1533 of the family's 1533-position model. Lineage: Bacteria; Bacillati; Bacillota; Bacilli; Caryophanales; Paenibacillaceae. The record is from RNAcentral.
GUUGGGUUAAGUCCCGCAACGAGCGCAACCCUUGAUUUUAGUUGCCAGCAGGUAAGGCUGGGCACUCUAGAAUGACUGCCGGUGACAAACCGGAGGAAGGCGGGGAUGACGUCAAAUCAUCAUGCCCCUUAUGACUUGGGCUACACACGUACUACAAUGGCUGGUACAACGGGAAGCGAAGCCGCGAGGUGGAGCCAAUCCUAUAAAAGCCAGUCUCAGUUCGGAUUGCAGGCUGCAACUCGCCUGCAUGAAGUCGGAAUUGCUAGUAAUCGCGGAUCAGCAUGCCGCGGUGAAUACGUUCCCGGGUCUUGUACACACCGCCCGUCACACCACGAGAGUUUACAACACCCGAAGUCGGUGGGGUAACCCGCAAGGGAGCCAGCCGCCGAAGGUGGGGUAGAUGAUUGGGGUGAAGUCGUAACAAGGUAGCCGUAUCGGAAGGUGCGGCUGGAUCACCUCCUUUCUGCGGCCGCUUA